AAGUCGUAACAAGGUUUCCGUAGGUGAACCUGCGGAAGGAUCAUUACCUAUAUAUCGGGGUCAGAACCCAAUGGCAUAAGAUAAAAACCUUAACUCAUGCUUAUUGCCCUGACCUGUUAGCAUAUACCCAUGUCUUUUGCGUACAUUUGUUUCCUUGGUGGGCUUGCCUGCCAUUAGGACACUAUAAACCCUUCUGUAAUUGCAGUCAGCAUCAGGUACCAACCACAUAAUAAUCAAAACUUUCAACAACGGAUCUCUUGGUUCUG
RNAcentral lists this unclassified non-coding RNA (266 nucleotides) under fungal sp. RNAcentral describes it as "partial internal transcribed spacer region". The stretch from base 1 to 46 matches the Rfam family "Eukaryotic small subunit ribosomal RNA", at positions 1786 to 1831 of the family's 1831-position model. Lineage: Eukaryota; Fungi. The record is from RNAcentral.